AUGAGCCUGCUGGGUCUCCUCCUGUGCCUGGUGACAGCCCCCCAAGGUGUCCUGUCCCAGGUGCAGCUGCAGGAGUCGGGCCCAGGACUGGUGAAGCCCUCGCAGACCCUCUCCCUCACCUGCACUGUCUCCGGGGGCUCGGUCACCAGCAGUUACUACUGGCACUGGAUCCGCCAGAGCCCUGGGAAAGGGUUGCAGUGGAUGGGGUACUGGACAGGAAGCACCAGCUAUAACCCAGCCUUCCAGGGCCGCAUCUCCAUCACUGCUGACACGUCCAGGAACCAGUUCUCUUUAGAGCUGAGAUCUGUGACCACCGAGGACACGGCCGUGUAUUACUGUGCGAGACACACCUCUGGAUUCACCUUCAGUAGCUAUGCCAUGCACUGGGUCUGCCAGGCUCCAGGGAAGGGGCUGGAGUGGGUUUCAGCUAUUAGUGGUAAUGGUGGUAGCACAUUCUAUGCAGACGCUGUGAAGGGCCGAUUCACCAUCUCCAGAGACAACGCCAAGAACACGCUGUAUCUGCAAAUGAACAGCCUGAAAUCUGAGCACUCGGCCGUGUGUUUCUGUGGGAGACACAAUCAGAAGUGGUCAAU
Non-coding RNA from Miniopterus natalensis, 593 nucleotides. The record is from the annotation of a RefSeq genome assembly. Lineage: Eukaryota; Metazoa; Chordata; Mammalia; Chiroptera; Miniopteridae.